Molecule: ribosomal RNA, 1366 nt
Filed under: uncultured beta proteobacterium
Lineage: Bacteria; Pseudomonadati; Pseudomonadota; Betaproteobacteria
Description: bacterial SSU rRNA
Rfam family: Bacterial small subunit ribosomal RNA
Source: RNAcentral
UUGAACGCUGGCGGCAUGCCUUACACAUGCAAGUCGAACGGCAGCACGGGUGCUUGCACCUGGUGGCGAGUGGCGAACGGGUGAGUAAUACAUCGGAACAUGUCCUGUAGUGGGGGAUAGCCCGGCGAAAGCCGGAUUAAUACCGCAUACGAUCUACGGAUGAAAGCGGGGGACCUUCGGGCCUCGCGCUAUAGGGUUGGCCGAUGGCUGAUUAGCUAGUUGGUGGGGUAAAGGCCUACCAAGGCGACGAUCAGUAGCUGGUCUGAGAGGACGACCAGCCACACUGGGACUGAGACACGGCCCAGACUCCUACGGGAGGCAGCAGUGGGGAAUUUUGGACAAUGGGCGAAAGCCUGAUCCAGCAAUGCCGCGUGUGUGAAGAAGGCCUUCGGGUUGUAAAGCACUUUUGUCCGGAAAGAAAUCCUUGGCUCUAAUACAGUCGGGGGAUGACGGUACCGGAAGAAUAAGCACCGGCUAACUACGUGCCAGCAGCCGCGGUAAUACGUAGGGUGCGAGCGUUAAUCGGAAUUACUGGGCGUAAAGCGUGCGCAGGCGGUUUGCUAAGACCGAUGUGAAAUCCCCGGGCUCAACCUGGGAACUGCAUUGGUGACUGGCAGGCUAGAGUAUGGCAGAGGGGGGUAGAAUUCCACGUGUAGCAGUGAAAUGCGUAGAGAUGUGGAGGAAUACCGAUGGGCGAAAGGCAGCCCCCUGGGCCAAUACUGACGCUCAUGCACGAAAGCGUGGGGGAGCAAACAGGAUUAGAUACCCUGGUAGUCCACGCCCUAAACGAUGUCAACUAGUUGUUGGGGAUUCAUUUCCUUAGUAACGUAGCUAACGCGUGAAGCUGACCGCCUGGGGAGUACGGUCGCAAGAUUAAAACUCAAAGGAAUUGACGGGGACCCGCACAAGCGGUGGAUGAUGUGGAUUAAUUCGAUGCAACGCGAAAAACCUUACCUACCCUUGACAUGGUCGGAAUCCCGCUGAGAGGUGGGAGUGCUCGAAAGAGAACCGGCGCACAGGUGCUGCAUGGCUGUCGUCAGCUCGUGUCGUGAGAUGUUGGGUUAAGUCCCGCAACGAGCGCAACCCUUGUCCUUAGUUGCUACGCAAGAGCACUCUAAGGAGACUGCCGGUGACAAACCGGAGGAAGGUGGGGAUGACGUCAAGUCCUCAUGGCCCUUAUGGGUAGGGCUUCACACGUCAUACAAUGGUCGGAACAGAGGGUUGCCAACCCGCGAGGGGGAGCUAAUCCCAGAAAACCGAUCGUAGUCCGGAUUGCACUCUGCAACUCGAGUGCAUGAAGCUGGAAUCGCUAGUAAUCGCGGAUCAGCAUGCCGCGGUGAAUACGUUCCCGGGUCUUGUACUCACC